Molecule: small RNA, 87 nt
Filed under: Pseudomonas saudimassiliensis
Lineage: Bacteria; Pseudomonadati; Pseudomonadota; Gammaproteobacteria; Pseudomonadales; Pseudomonadaceae
Description: t44
Rfam family: t44 RNA
About the family: This family consists of a number of bacterial RNA genes of between 135 and 170 bases in length. The t44 gene is found between the map and rpsB genes in all species in the full alignment apart from Shigella flexneri. The function of this RNA is unknown.
Source: RNAcentral
CUCAGGUAUUACUGAAUCCGCACACAUAUCGACACGUUGUCCUGGGUGCCCUUCGGGGUUGGAUGGCGGGAUAUGUGGAGGCUCAAC